RNAcentral lists this ribosomal RNA (817 nucleotides) under Pseudo-nitzschia seriata. Its description in RNAcentral is "eukaryotic LSU rRNA". The stretch from base 317 to 817 matches the Rfam family "Eukaryotic large subunit ribosomal RNA", at positions 1 to 516 of the family's 3401-position model. Lineage: Eukaryota; Bacillariophyta; Bacillariophyceae; Bacillariales; Bacillariaceae. The record is from RNAcentral.
GGUAGCAUGCUUGUCUGAGUGUCUGUGGAUCCCACUCAGCGCUGGUUUAGGCCGGUCGCUGGUUGUUUUGGCCUUGACAGCUACUAGUAGCUGUCUCUGCUUAAGUUCUACGGUAUCGUACGUGCAUAGAUUUAGUUACCUCAACCUGUCUUGUCAAGACGGCGUUGACACUCUUGUCUAUCUCUGGUAGCUUGUAUUUAUUACAAAUAUCUGGAGUUUGUUAAGAUUGUCAUGUUCAGCUGUUUGAAACUUUUCGAUUGAGUGUCACUAGAUCUAGCUAGCUAUACUUUCCUGUAUUAGCUAGCUAUCCAAUUCCGGAUCUCAGAUCAAGCAAGAGGACCCGCCGAAUUUAAGCAUAUAAUUAAGCGGAGGAAAAGAAACUAACUAGGAUUCCCUCAGUAACGGCGAGUGAAGCGGGACUAGCUCAGGAUGUGAAUCUGCGCUUUUAUGGCGCCGAAUUGUGGUCUGUAGACUUUGACAUUAUCUGCCGGGCCAAGUUCCUUGGAAAAGGACAGCUGAGAGGGUGAGACUCCCGUCCGCCUGGUAGAGUGAGUCAUUUGUCAACGAGUCGAGUUGUUUGGGAUUGCAGCUCUAAUUUGGUGGUAAAUUCCAUCUAAAGCUAAAUAUUGGUGGGAGACCGAUAGCGUACAAGUACCGUGAGGGAAAGAUGCAAAGAACUUUGAAAAGAGAGUUAAAGAGUACCUGAAACUGCUGAAACGGAAGCGAAGGAAACCAGUGUUUGUUGGUUCAUAUUUCCCCGGCCACUUGUGGUUUGGGCGCUGUGAGCUUGCGUGAGUUUGGGUUGGUUGAAUCCUUU